RNAcentral lists this long non-coding RNA (4800 nucleotides) under Olea europaea subsp. europaea. Lineage: Eukaryota; Viridiplantae; Streptophyta; Magnoliopsida; Lamiales; Oleaceae. The record is from RNAcentral.
CACAGUUUAACAAUUGAAAAUAGACUCAUAACAGACCCCCCUUCUUAGGAAACCUUGUCCUCAAGAUUAUGAAAUCGCCUCCUUAUGGUGUCUAGGUCUUCUCAGGUAGCAUCUUCCUCGUUGGCCCCAGGCCAUUGUACCAAGACCUGAACUCCGGCAACGUUUUCCUUUCUUUUCAGCCUCUUUUGCAAGAUUCUCUCAGGUUCGAGUUCCAAGGAGCCUUCAGACGUGAUGAGCGAUAGGUGUGCACAAGCUUGUAUUCCUUCUCCUAGCUUUCUCUUGAGGCACAAAAUAUGAAACAAAGGAUAGAUCUUAGCUUCAGGAGGUAGAUCGAGCUCAUAUGCGACUUGACCCACCCUUCAAAUCACUCUAAAAGGCUGAAAAUAUCUCGGUACAAUCUUCAAGUUCCUUCGCAAUGCUACUGUCAUUUGUUGAUACAGCCGUAACUUGAGGUAAACCAAGUCUCCAAUUUCAAACUCUUAGUACCUCCUUGUUUUAUCAGCAAAAUAUUUCAUCUUUGAUUAGGCUUCCUGCAGGUUCUCCUUGAUGAGUUUAGCAAUAAACUCUCGUGUUCGAAGUUCUUUAUCAAUACCUUUCACUUUAGUGGAUCCUACCUCAUAUGGUAACAUUCGAGGUGGUAGCUGACCAUAAAUAGCUUCAAAAGGUGUUACCUUCAUGGAUGUAUGUACUGAGGUAUUAUAGGAAUACUCAGCUAAAGGUAACCACUUUGCCCAAUCUUUCGAUUUGUCACUUGAAAAACAUUGGAGGUAGCAUUCAAGCACUUUAUUCAUGGCCUUUGUUUGGCCAUCCGUUCGAGGAUGAUAGGCUGUGCUAAGUAAUAAAUCUAUUCCACAUAACCUUAAUAGUUCCUUCCAAAAAUUGCUUGUAAACACAGGAUCUCGAUCACUAAAAAUUGUUUGUGGUAGCCCGUGUAAUUUGAAAACAUUAUCCAUAAAAACUCUAGCCACCGUUAGUGCUGUGUAUGGAUGAUUAAUAGGCAUAAAAUGAGAAUACUUACUUAGCCUAUCCACCACCACAAGGGUCAUUGUCUUUUCUCCUGAGGGGGGUAGACCCUCAAUGAAAUCUAUGCUGAUAUCUUCCUAGUUUUUGCUAGGUAUCGGUAAAGGCUGAAGCAACCCCAUAGGGUGGAGGGCUUUUACUUUAUUCCUCUAGUAUACAUCACAUGCCUUGACAUGUGUUAUGACAUCAUUUUGCAAACCAGGCCAAUAAAAUUCCUUUUUUGUUAUUGUGUGGGUCUUUAAUACACUUGUGUGGCCCCCUAAUGGACUGACGUGGAACUAGUGCAGGAUUUGCUGCUGGAAGGGAACCAAUGAUCGAGAUGUAGUCUAUUCUCGUAAAAGAGUAACUCAUUUCAGAGUUGGUAAUGAGUUAGGUCCAAUUCUCCAUGAUGGUAGUGGCUUAUCAACUUCUGCAACAUGGGGUCCUGAAGGUAAGCCUUCUUCAACUCUUCUAUCCACUGAGCUUGUAAAAUGCUGAUGGCUUGGUUUUGGAUAAUUCGAUUUUUUUUGUGUGGUUUGGUUUGUGGUUGGGAUUAGUAUUUGGUCUCUGUUUGGGUCUUGGGGUUCUAAGUAUUGCACCCGAGAUAAGGCAUCAGCUGCUGCAUUACUCUUGCCACUUCUAUAUUCCACCAUGAAGUCAUACCCAAGCAAUUUAAAGACCUAUUUUUGUUGUGAGAGGGUCCCUACCCUUUGUUUCAGCAAGUAUUCGAGUGCCUUCUGGUCAGUAUGUACCUUGAAGGACUGUCCCAACAGGUAGUGUCUCUAUUUCCUCACUGCCAUCACUAGUGCCAAUAAUUCCUUUUCAUAAGUGGAAAGGUUCAGAUUCCACCCUUUUAAAGACUGGCUAAAAUAUGCUAUUGGUUGCCCCUCUUGCAUUAAAACAGCUCCCAAUGCUUCCCCUGAUGCAUCACAUUCCACUACAAAAGUUUUAAUAAAAUUAGGUAAGCUGAGCAUUGGUGGCCUUACCAUCGCCUCCUUAAGUCUCUCAAAUGCUCCCUGUGCUUGAUCAUUCCAAGAAAAAGAGUUUUUCUUUACAAAAGCUGUUAGUGGGGCUGUUAUUGCUCCAUACCCCUUGACAAAUUUCUUGUAAUAUCCUGUGAGUCCUAAAAAACCUCUUAGUGCCUUAAGGUUCUUAGGAGUUGGCCAUUCUUGUAUUGCAACCAGCUUUUGAGGACCUAAUUUAACUCCUUCCUUUGAGAUAAUGUGUCCCAAGUACUCCACCUCUUUAAUUCCAAAAACACACUUUGACAGCUUUGCAAAAAACUUGUUAGCUUAUAAUAACUCCAAGACUCUUGUGUUAUGUUGUACAUGCUCCUGCAUAGACUUGCUAUAGACUAAGAUAUCAUAAAAAAACAUGAGCAAAAACUUCCUCAAAUAGGGUCUAAAUACUUCAUUCAUCACCCCUUGAAAUGUAGAUGGUGCAUUAGUAAGCACAAAGGGCAUUACUAAAAACUCAUAAUGCCCCUUAUGUGUCUGGAAGGCAGUUUUGGGGAUGUCAUCAGGAUUCAUGCGUAUCUGAUGAUAUCUUGAUUUCAAAUCUAAUUUAGAAAACACAUCAACUCCCCCUAGCUCAUCAAGCAACUCAUCAAUGUUUGGAAUAGGAUACUUAUCUUUUAUGGUCUCCUUGUUGAGUGCACGAUAAUCCACACACAUUUGCCAACUCCCAUAAGCUUUUCUCACAAGUAGCACCGGAGAAGAAUAUAGACUUUGACUGCUUCUUAUGCUGCCAUUCUUUAGUAACUCAGCUACCAGCUUCUCUAUCUCUUCCUUUUGGUAAUAAGGGUAGUUGUAGGGCCUAACACAAAUGGGUUUAGUUCCUUCCAAUACUUUAAUUUUGUGAUCAAAAUUCCUGGGAGGUGGCAACCCAAUAGGCUCGGCAAAGACCUUUUUAGAAUUGUCCAGAAUUUUCUGUACCUUUGUUGGUUGUGUUAUUCUGCCUUUACCAUUAUUACCAUCCAUGAUUUGCAACCAAAUUUCUCUCACCGAUCCCUCCAUAGGUUCAACAGUAGGAUCUUCCUCCACAAUAUUGUUCACUAGUCUCUGAAUCCCCUGCAACUGGACUGCUUGACCUCUAUACUGAAACUUCAUGGUUAAAUUAGAGAAAUUCCAUAAAAUAGAUCCUAACCCACUUAACCAAUCAACCCCCACAACUACAUCACAUCCUCCAAGAUUCAACAUAUAUAAAUUAGCCAUAAACUUAUGAUCUUGUAACGUAAGAGAGACAGCCUUACAUUGACCAAGGCAAGGAAGAGUGGCACCAUUAGCCACCUGAACUAUUAAGUGCCUUUCUUUUUUUGACAGAUUAGCCUUCCUUGUUACAUAUGGAUCUAUAAAACUAUAUGUGCUUCCUAUAUCAAUCAAAACCAGAACUUUGUGAUGAUUUAUUUCAUCAAACAACCUCAUGGUUUUUGGGGUUAAUGAUCCAGCUAUAGCAUGUAGGGAUAUUCUUAGCAACUCCCCAACCUCUCAUUCAUUGGUUCCAAUCACAACCAAGCAUUCCUCCUCCCCUUCAGCACCCACGUUGUCCUUUUCUUCUCAUUCCAUCCCUUCCAAAAGGUAUUUUAGGUUUAUUACAUCUAUGUCCUGGGUGGUAUUUUUCAUCACAAAACCAGCAUAGUCCCUUUUCUUUCCUUUCCUGCAUUUGAGUGGGAUUGACUCUCUUUAUGGGGAAAUUGGUUCCUUUUGGAUUGUUGAAAGGUUGAUGUUUCUGGUUGGUUUUAUUUGGUGGGGCUGGCAGUCUAAGUGUAGGGGCUGGCGUCGGGAGUCUAGAUGGGUAAUGUGAGUUGGUGGUUGGGUAGGUAGGGAAUUUAUUUAUGUUGCCUUUGACACGCCUUAAUACCUCCUCUUCCUGUAACCUUGCCAAGCCAAAAGCAGAUGAUAGAGUGAAAGGUUUAAACAUAGUCACAGUGAUUCUCAAGUCAUCUGUUAGCCCACUCAAAAAGGUACUGAUUCUAAACUCUUCAGAUAAGCCACUUAUUUUGUUAGAUAGCAUUUCAAAUUGUGUUUGAUAUGUUUCAACAGUACCAGUUUUUUUAAGUUUAGCGAAUUCCCCAACAGGAUCCUCGUAGGCUGAGGGUCCAAAUCUCACUACUAGGGCUGAAACAAAGUCAUCCCAGGAUUGGACUGGGCUUAAAUCCUUCAGCUAGCUACACCAUGAGAGUGUUUUACCUUCCAUGUGAAAUAAUGCUAUUUGUAAUCUUUGGUCAUUUGGGGUUCUAUAAUAUUCAAAAAACUGUUGUGCUUUUUGAGUCCAUUCCUCUGGAUUAGUACCAUCAAAUUUAGGGAAAUCCAGUCUUAAAGAUCUAGCUUGAAUGCCCCCAUUCCCUUCAAACAAAGGAUUGUUAUUGACCUUAGAAUUAGAAGACCCUUUUCCUGAAUUCUGAUUUGCUGCCAAAUGUUCAUAGCUAGAAGCCAAAUUACUGGUUUGCUGAAGAACUACAGCUAACAUGUCCUUUUGCCGUUCUUUGCUCUUCACGCAGGUUGUUGUUCUCUCCUUUGAGGGUUGCGAUAUCAUCAGCCAAUUGAGCGUGGCGAGUACAAUUAGCCAUGGUGCCAGAAACCUAGCUUUGAUACCACUGUUAUUUCCCAAAAUUAUACGUAACAGUAAGUAAAUAAAUGGAUGAUAAUUGGAGGUUACCAGGCCUCCUGUAAUCUGUAAAUUUGAUUAAACUGAUGAUGAUCUUUUUAUUGAGUUGAAAUAGUAUAAGUAGGCCACGAACAAUGACCUGUUACACGACGUGGGGGCAUAGCCCAUUACUUACGAAAAUAAACAAUUGACCCA